AACGAACGCUGGCGGCAGGCCUAACACAUGCAAGUCGAGCGAGCAUUUCGGUGCUAGCGGCGGACGGGUGAGUAACGCGUGGGAACGUGCCCUUUUCUGCGGAAUAGUCCUGGGAAACUGGGGGUAAUACCGCAUACCCUUUUGGGGAAAGAUUUAUCGGAGAAGGAUCGGCCCGCGUUGGAUUAGGUAGUUGGUGGGGUAAUGGCCCACCAAGCCGACGAUCCAUAGCUGGUUUGAGAGGAUGAUCAGCCACACUGGGACUGAGACACGGCCCAGACUCCUACGGGAGGCAGCAGUGGGGAAUCUUAGACAAUGGGGGCAACCCUGAUCUAGCCAUGCCGCGUGAGUGAUGAAGGCCUUAGGGUUGUAAAGCUCUUUCAGCUGGGAAGAUAAUGACGGUACCAGCAGAAGAAGCCCCGGCUAACUCCGUG
This 431-nucleotide ribosomal RNA is filed under the name uncultured bacterium. RNAcentral's name for it is "partial 16S ribosomal RNA". It matches the Rfam family "Bacterial small subunit ribosomal RNA", at positions 29 to 507 of the family's 1533-position model. The record is from RNAcentral.